AGAGUUUGAUCCUGGCUCAGAAUGAACGCUGGCGGCGUGCCUAACACAUGCAAGUCGGAUGUGCCGCAAGGUGCAUGGCAGACGGGUGAGUAACGCGUGGGCAAUCUACCUUUUAGUGGGGAAUAACGAUCCGAAAGGAUUGGUAAUACCGCAUGUGAUCAUCGACUGGGAUGUUGGUGAUGAAAGCCGGGGACCGCAAGGCCUGGCGCUAGGAGAGGAGCCCGCGUCUGAUUAGUUAGUUGGUGGGGUAACGGCCUACCAAGACAUCGAUCAGUAGCCGGCCUGAGAGGGUGAUCGGCCACACUGGAACUGAGACACGGUCCAGACUCCUACGGGAGGCAGCAGUGGGGAAUUUUGCGCAAUGGACGAAAGUCUGACGCAGCAACGCCGCGUGGGUGAUGAAGGUCUUCGGACUGUAAAACCCUGUCGUCAGGGACGAAGGUUGAGGGGUUAAUAACCCUUCAGCUUGACGGUACCUGGAGAGGAAGCCCCGGCUAACUCUGUGCCAGCAGCCGCGGUAAUACAGAGGGGGCAAGCGUUAUUCGGAAUUAUUGGGCGUAAAGGGCGCGUAGGCGGUUUUUUAAGUCAGAUGUGUAAUCCCCGAGCUCAACUUGGGAACUGCAUCUGAGACUGGAAGGCUAGAGUACUGGAGAGGGUGGUGGAAUUCCUCGUGUAGCGGUGAAAUGCGUAGAGAUGAGGAGGAACACCAGUGGCGAAGGCGGCCACCUGGACAGUAACUGACGCUGAGGCGCGAAAGUGUGGGUAGCAAACAGGAUUAGAUACCCUGGUAGUCC
RNAcentral lists this ribosomal RNA (794 nucleotides) under uncultured bacterium. Its description in RNAcentral is "bacterial SSU rRNA". It matches the Rfam family "Bacterial small subunit ribosomal RNA", at positions 8 to 796 of the family's 1533-position model. The record is from RNAcentral.